UACAGGGGGUGCAAACGUUGCUCGGAAUCAUUGGGCGUAAAGCGCACGUAGGCGGUUCGUUAUGUCGGAUGUGAAAGCCCUUGGCUUAACCGAGGAAGUGCAUCCGAAACUGGCGAGCUAGAGUACGAAAGAGGAUCGCGGAAUUCCCGGUGUAGAGGUGAAAUUCGUAGAUAUUCGGAAGAACACCAGUGGCGAAGGCGACUGACUGGACAAGUAUUGACGCUGAGGUGCGAAAGCGUGGGGAGCAAACAGG
Molecule: ribosomal RNA, 253 nt
Filed under: uncultured bacterium
Lineage: Bacteria
Description: partial 16S ribosomal RNA
Rfam family: Bacterial small subunit ribosomal RNA
Source: RNAcentral